AGCGAACGCUGGCGGCAGGCCUAACACAUGCAAGUCGAACGAACCUUUCGGGGUUAGUGGCGGGCGGGUGAGUAACACGUGGGAACGUGCCUUUAGGUUCGGAAUAACUCAGGGAAACUUGUGCUAAUACCGAAUGUGCCCUUCGGGGGAAAGAUUAAUCGCCUUUAGAGCGGCCCGCGUCUGAUUAGCUAGUUGGUUGAGGUAAUGGCUCACCAAGGCGACGAUCAGUAGCUGGUCUGAGAGGAUGAUCAGCCACAUUGGGACUGAGACACGGCCCAAACUCCUACGGGAGGCAGCAGUGGGGAAUCUUGCGCAAUGGGCGAAAGCCUGACGCAGCCAUGCCGCGUGAAUGAUGAAGGUCUUAGGAUUGUAAAAUUCUUUCACCGGGGACGAUAAUGACGGUACCCGGAGAAGAAGCCCCGGCUAACUUCGUG
RNAcentral lists this ribosomal RNA (434 nucleotides) under uncultured bacterium. RNAcentral describes it as "partial 16S ribosomal RNA". It matches the Rfam family "Bacterial small subunit ribosomal RNA", at positions 29 to 507 of the family's 1533-position model. The record is from RNAcentral.